GUGCCUCGGCGGGAUCUCUGCCCCGGGUGCGUCGCAGCCCCGGACCAAGGCGCCCGCCGGAGGACCAACCAAAACUCUUAUUGUAUACCCCCUCGCGGGUUUUUUUAUAAUCUGAGCCUUCUCGGCGCCUCUCGUAGGCGUUUCGAAAAUGAAUCAAAACUUUCAACAACGGAUCUCUUGGUUCUGGCAUCGAUGAAGAACGCAGCGAAAUGCGAUAAGUAAUGUGAAUUGCAGAAUUCAGUGAAUCAUCGAAUCUUUGAACGCACAUUGCGCCCGCCAGUAUUCUGGCGGGCAUGCCUGUCCGAGCGUCAUUUCAACCCUCGAACCCCUCCGGGGGGUCGGCGUUGGGGAUCGGCCCUCCCUUAGCGGGUGGCCGUCUCCGAAAUACAGUGGCGGUCUCGCCGCAGCCUCUCCUGCGCAGUAGUUUGCACACUCGCAUCGGGAGCGCGGCGCGUCCACAGCCGUUAAACACCCAACUUCUGAAAUGUUGACCUCGGAUCAGGUAGGAAUACCCGCUGAACUUAAGCAUAUCAAUAAGCGGAGGAA
Molecule: ribosomal RNA, 546 nt
Filed under: Trichoderma sp. RCS-2012
Lineage: Eukaryota; Fungi; Ascomycota; Sordariomycetes; Hypocreales; Hypocreaceae
Description: eukaryotic LSU rRNA
Rfam family: 5.8S ribosomal RNA (bases 158-311)
Source: RNAcentral